GUUGCUUCACAACUGGAAGGAUGGCCUGUUGAUAACAGUUUGGACAUCCCGUAGAGGGAAAGCAUAGAUGAAUGGAAACACCGGCCAGUAUUAAACAGCAUGACGCUCUGUCAAACCGCGUCAUGUUACCUGUCUUCUGGCACAUUU
Molecule: non-coding RNA, 147 nt
Organism: Triticum aestivum (bread wheat)
Lineage: Eukaryota; Viridiplantae; Streptophyta; Magnoliopsida; Poales; Poaceae
Source: Rfam